RNAcentral lists this ribosomal RNA (254 nucleotides) under uncultured bacterium. RNAcentral describes it as "partial 16S ribosomal RNA". It matches the Rfam family "Bacterial small subunit ribosomal RNA", at positions 524 to 776 of the family's 1533-position model. The record is from RNAcentral.
CACGUAGGGUGCGAGCGUUGUCCGGAAUUAUUGGGCGUAAAGAGCUCGUAGGCGGUGUGUCGCGUCGGCCGUGAAAACCUGUGGCUUAACUGCGGGCUUGCGGUCGAUACGGGCAUCACUGGAGUUCGGCAGGGGAGACUGGAAUUCCUGGUGUAGCGGUGAAAUGCGCAGAUAUCAGGAGGAACACCGAUGGCGAAGGCAGGUCUCUGGGCCACUACUGACGCUGAGGCAUGAAAGCGUGGGGAGCAAACAGG